This 22-nucleotide microRNA is filed under the name Monodelphis domestica (gray short-tailed opossum). RNAcentral's name for it is "Mdo-Mir-1544-P2k_3p* (star (passenger))". The record is from RNAcentral. Lineage: Eukaryota; Metazoa; Chordata; Mammalia; Didelphimorphia; Didelphidae.
CCUUUUCCAUCCUUGGCAUUGG